This 425-nucleotide ribosomal RNA is filed under the name uncultured bacterium. Its description in RNAcentral is "bacterial SSU rRNA". It matches the Rfam family "Bacterial small subunit ribosomal RNA", at positions 356 to 773 of the family's 1533-position model. The record is from RNAcentral.
AGGGGAUCUUCCGCAAUGGGCGAAAGCCUGACGGAGCAACGCCGCGUGAGUGAUGAAGGUCUUCGGAUCGUAAAACUCUGUUAUUAGGGAAGAACAAAUGUGUAAGUAACUAUGCACGUCUUGACGGUACCUAAUCAGCAAGCCACGGCUAACUACGUGCCAGCAGCCGCGGUAAUACGUAGGUGGCAAGCGUUAUCCGGAAUUAUUGGGCGUAAAGCGCGCGUAGGCGGUUUUUUAAGUCUGAUGUGAAAGCCCACGGCUCAACCGUGGAGGGUCAUUGGAAACUGGGAGACUUGAGUGCAGAAGAGGAGAGUGGAAUUCCAUGUGUAGCGGUGAAAUGCGUAGAUAUAUGGAGGAACACCAGUGGCGAAGGCGGCUCUCUGGUCUGUAACUGACGCUGAGGCUCGAAAGCGUGGGGAGCGAAC